UACGUAGGGAGCAAGCGUUAAUCGGAAUUACUGGGCGUAAAGCGUGCGCAGGCGGUGAUGUAAGACAGUUGUGAAAUCCCCGGGCUCAACCUGGGAACUGCAUCUGUGACUGCAUUGCUGGAGUGCGGCAGAGGGGGAUGGAAUUCCGCGUGUAGCAGUGAAAUGCGUAGAUAUGCGGAGGAACACCGAUGGCGAAGGCAAUCCCCUGGGCCUGCACUGACGCUCAUGCACGAAAGCGUGGGGAGCAAACAGG
This 253-nucleotide ribosomal RNA is filed under the name uncultured bacterium. Its description in RNAcentral is "partial 16S ribosomal RNA". It matches the Rfam family "Bacterial small subunit ribosomal RNA", at positions 524 to 776 of the family's 1533-position model. The record is from RNAcentral.